This 560-nucleotide ribosomal RNA is filed under the name uncultured Arthrobacter sp. RNAcentral describes it as "bacterial SSU rRNA". It matches the Rfam family "Bacterial small subunit ribosomal RNA", at positions 338 to 908 of the family's 1533-position model. The record is from RNAcentral. Lineage: Bacteria; Bacillati; Actinomycetota; Actinomycetes; Micrococcales; Micrococcaceae.
CCUACGGGAGGCAGCAGUGGGGAAUAUUGCACAAUGGGCGAAAGCCUGAUGCAGCGACGCCGCGUGAGGGAUGACGGCCUUCGGGUUGUAAACCUCUUUCAGUAGGGAAGAAGCGAAAGUGACGGUACCUGCAGAAGAAGCGCCGGCUAACUACGUGCCAGCAGCCGCGGUAAUACGUAGGGCGCAAGCGUUAUCCGGAAUUAUUGGGCGUAAAGAGCUCGUAGGCGGUUUGUCGCGUCUGCCGUGAAAGUCCGGGGCUCAACUCCGGAUCUGCGGUGGGUACGGGCAGACUAGAGUGAUGUAGGGGAGACUGGAAUUCCUGGUGUAGCGGUGAAAUGCGCAGAUAUCAGGAGGAACACCGAUGGCGAAGGCAGGUCUCUGGGCAUUAACUGACGCUGAGGAGCGAAAGCAUGGGGAGCGAACAGGUUUAGAUACCCUGGUAGUCCAUGCCGUAAACGUUGGGCACUAGGUGUGGGGGACAUUCCACGUUUUCCGCGCCGUAGCUAACGCAUUAAGUGCCCCGCCUGGGGAGUACGGCCGCAAGGGUAAAACUCAAAGGA